UGUCAUUCUGCCCCUUAACAAGGCAGUUACACCACUGUUCCUAGGCCAUCAUUGAAAAUAAGAAUUUGUAAUUGUGCCUCACAGUAUAUGAUCACACAUUUUGGUACUUGUUUUUCUUACGUUAACAUGCACUAUUGUUUAUGUUCAAACAAAUAGAGAAAUGAGCUUGAGCAAAGAGCAGGAUGAGGCAGAGGUGAAAUUUGAGGAGGCACUUCGAGAACACUGCAUUACAAUUUCAACAUGAAAACAGCAUUACAAUUUCAACAUGUAGCUCGCUGAUCAGAAGGAGCGAGCUGCAAAGCGACAGUCACCUGCUCCUGCCACUGGCCUUGCCCCUGUCCAAUGGAUAGAGAGGGACAGCAAAGGAAACAUAAUUCACCAAAGACCCAGACAUAAAAAGCUGUAACGGUAGAUUUCCUCCUCGUCGUCGUCUGAAGAGGUGUAGCAAGGAUCGGGCCAAUACGCAGCACGGCGAAAGACGAUGAUGUCAUCCUUCAUCAAACAUGUCCAUACAAAGACCAACCAUCCAACCUUCAGGAUAGUCAGACAGGGCAUCUCCAGAAGAAGAUUGAGGGGCUUUACCUCAGUGUGAACCAGAGGAAACACUACCUCUACUGUUUGACAGACGGCAACAAGAGAAGGCAUCAGAUUCUGAGAAAAAUUGUUGAGGACAAGGCAGCCUUGACAGCUGCCAUUGUUCAACUUCCCACACAGUAGGCAGAGUUUAGGCUCCCCACAGUGGAUGAGCUGCUCAAUACUGACAACUUUUUGUGGCCAUGGGAGAGACCUAGCACCAGUAAGUAUAUGAUUACAGAAGGUACAGUAUCUAUUGUGACUGAAAUUUUACCUUCAGUGUAGGCUGCAAUCAUUGCUGUUGUUCUACUAUAUACCUCUGUGAGUUUACAUCUCACAGGCAACAGCCAUCUUGCCAUCAAAAAGGCAAUCUUCAACAGACUGAUGUUGGUGAACAGACUGCAGGAGGAAGAGAGGGUCCUGGUGCAGGAGAUGAAGAGGCACUGGGGAGCCUACAAAGUACAGGGGGAACUCUGGAGGCACUGUCCGUACAGUUGCAAGAUCAGAGCAAUGCAGUGGAGUUGUCAGAGGGAGGGAGGAAUGGCCUUCUCUUCCUCCUGAAGAGAAGAUUGAGUGAACUGACACAAGAACAAGACAACACCAGGAACAACUACCAAAAGCUGAUUCUGGGAGAAGGGGCUAUUUUAAUGACUCUGAUGCAAAUGAAAACUCAGAUGAAGAUAGAAGUCCUAUUACUGAGAGCUCAGAUGGCGACUGCUAUGCUUUCUGAAAUCAUACACCACCCCGGCCUCUUUCUCUCGGACUCUCUCUCUCCCGCAGGAGAGGGGGAAGGCUGCCACCACCUCCCUCAUGAGCAGCCAGGGUUCCGACAUUGACCCCUGACCCCUUAUCUUCUGAACGCAUCCAGGGAAAUGUAUUUUGCCUGAUGAUGGUCUAGUGGAGAUUUGUUGCCAUGUUUCCUCUCCUCACCUCCUCCCCUUCCGGUCCUAGACUAUGGCGACAUCAUCAGCAACUCAGAAUGUUGGUUGAGGAUCUCUUUACUGAGGAAUGUGGUUGUUCUUCAUGAUUAAAAAUAUCUAUAUAUUUUCUAUGCUACUGGGAUUGUGAUUUUUUUGUGUAAUUUUGAGUUGCAAAAGAGUCCUAGGUCUCAAUGGGUCUGCUAAAAUAAAUAAAGUAAAGG
Oncorhynchus tshawytscha (Chinook salmon) is the source of this 1714-nucleotide long non-coding RNA. RefSeq lists it as uncharacterized. The transcript is spliced from 6 exons. Lineage: Eukaryota; Metazoa; Chordata; Actinopteri; Salmoniformes; Salmonidae. The record is from RefSeq and is a predicted model, not a curated record.